UACGUAGGGUGCAAGCGUUGUCCGGAAUUAUUGGGCGUAAAGAGCUCGUAGGCGGUCUGUCGCGUCUGCUGUGAAAACUCGAGGCUCAACCUCGGGCUUGCAGUGGAUACGGGCAGACUAGAGUGCGGUAGGGGAGACUGGAAUUCCUGGUGUAGCGGUGGAAUGCGCAGAUAUCAGGAGGAACACCGAUGGCGAAGGCAGGUCUCUGGGCCGCAACUGACGCUGAGGAGCGAAAGCAUGGGGAGCGAACAGG
RNAcentral lists this ribosomal RNA (253 nucleotides) under uncultured bacterium. RNAcentral's name for it is "partial 16S ribosomal RNA". It matches the Rfam family "Bacterial small subunit ribosomal RNA", at positions 524 to 776 of the family's 1533-position model. The record is from RNAcentral.